CUGUAUUAGUUGUGUCCUGCUUUCUUUUAUGAUGGUGGGAAGUUAAGCUGGUGCACAGAGGAAAUGCUGCUCUUGUAGUAGCAGCGGCCAGACAACCGUUGAGAGAUAGAUCCACAGAUGAACAUUCUUUCUGCUGUUUGUCUACUAACUCUAUCUCACAUUC
Setaria italica (foxtail millet) is the source of this 163-nucleotide small nucleolar RNA. It matches the Rfam family "small nucleolar RNA snoR143". The record is from Rfam. Lineage: Eukaryota; Viridiplantae; Streptophyta; Magnoliopsida; Poales; Poaceae.